AAAUUUGAGAGGAGCUGUCCUUAGUACGAGAGGACCGGGAUGGACCGACCUAUGGUGCACCAGUUGUUCCGCCAGGAGCAUCGCUGGGUAGCUAAGUCGGGACGGGAUAAACGCUGAAAGCAUCUAAGCGUGAAGCCUCCCUCAAGAUGAGAUUUCCCAUAGCAUAAGCUAGUAAGACCCCUUGAAGAACACGAGGUUGAUAGGUCAGAGGUGUAAGUAUGGCAACAUAUUUAGCUGACUGAUACUAAUAGGUCGAGGGCUUGACCAA
Molecule: ribosomal RNA, 268 nt
Filed under: Clostridium gasigenes
Lineage: Bacteria; Bacillati; Bacillota; Clostridia; Eubacteriales; Clostridiaceae
Description: Bacterial large subunit ribosomal RNA
Rfam family: Bacterial large subunit ribosomal RNA
Source: Rfam by way of RNAcentral